This 520-nucleotide transfer RNA is filed under the name uncultured Prochlorococcus sp. RNAcentral's name for it is "partial 16S-23S ribosomal RNA intergenic spacer". The stretch from base 207 to 279 matches the Rfam family "tRNA". Lineage: Bacteria; Bacillati; Cyanobacteriota; Cyanophyceae; Synechococcales; Prochlorococcaceae. The record is from RNAcentral.
CAGGGAGACAACAAAAUGUUUAAUAUUAUUUUGUCACCUUAGGUCGAUCGGUAUCUCACGUUCUUAUUUUUAAGAAUAUCGUUUUCUAAGUUUUUUCUAGGUCACACCCAUUAUUUUCCUGGGCCAUUAGCUCAGGUGGUUAGAGCGCACCCCUGAUAAGGGUGAGGUCCCUGGUUCAAGUCCAGGAUGGCCCAUAUCUCUAUGUUGGGGGUAUAGCUCAGUUGGUAGAGCGCCUGCUUUGCAAGCAGGAUGUCAGCGGUUCGAGUCCGCUUACCUCCACUGAUUACCACCUCUACCAUAUUUUGUAGAAAAGGAAGGUUUUGAGUUGUGAUCAAAUACUGAACGAAUCUAGCUUCCUAAUGAAAUCAUUAAGAUGCUGGACUCAUUGAAUUAAUUUCAUUGUUUUCAGAGAACCUUGACAACUGCAUAGAUUAUUUUAAAGACAAUAAGCAUCUUUAAUGAUGCAGAUUUAUUAUUUUUGCUAAUGCAUUAAUAACAAUUCUAUUAAGCUGAUGCUUCA